This 301-nucleotide ribosomal RNA is filed under the name uncultured bacterium. RNAcentral's name for it is "partial 16S ribosomal RNA". It matches the Rfam family "Bacterial small subunit ribosomal RNA", at positions 509 to 807 of the family's 1533-position model. The record is from RNAcentral.
CAGUCGCCGCGGGAACACGAAGGGGGCUAGCGUUGUUCGGAUUUACUGGGCGUAAAGGGCGCGUAGGCGGGCUGAUAAGUCAGGGGUGAAAUCCCAAGGCUCAACCUUGGAACUGCCUUUGAUACUGUUUGUCUUGAGUUCGAGAGAGGUAAGUGGAACUGCGAGUGUAGAGGUGAAAUUCGUAGAUAUUCGCAAGAACACCAGUGGCGAAGGCGGCUUACUGGCUCGAAACUGACGCUGAGGCGCGAAAGCGUGGGGAGCAAACAGGAUUAGAUACCCCAGUAGUCCCUGUCUCUUAUAC